UCUACACCUAAAACUCAUCAUAGGCGGAUUAGAUUCAAGGGGGCAAAAGAAAAGAACCUCUUUAGAGCUUGAAUGACUUCCUAAUGAUGCCUAAAAAUUGGGUCACACAAAAAACCAACCAACAAACAAUGGUCUGGCAUUUCCUGACUUAAAACAUACGUUUUGUUAGACUUAUAUCGAACAUAUGCUAAGCAGCCAAACAGCCCAAACCCCAGCCUCCACUCAAAGCUUG
Molecule: unclassified non-coding RNA, 232 nt
Filed under: Hevea brasiliensis (rubber tree)
Lineage: Eukaryota; Viridiplantae; Streptophyta; Magnoliopsida; Malpighiales; Euphorbiaceae
Source: RNAcentral